Molecule: transfer RNA, 75 nt
Filed under: Planctomycetota bacterium
Lineage: Bacteria; Pseudomonadati; Planctomycetota
Description: tRNA-Asn
Rfam family: tRNA
About the family: Transfer RNA (tRNA) molecules are approximately 80 nucleotides in length. Their secondary structure includes four short double-helical elements and three loops (D, anti-codon, and T loops).
Source: RNAcentral
UCCCUGGUAGCUCAAUGGUAGAGCACCCGGCUGUUAACCGGGUUGUUGUAGGUUCGAGCCCUACCCGGGGAGCCA